Molecule: long non-coding RNA, 3188 nt
Organism: Ruditapes philippinarum (Manila clam)
Lineage: Eukaryota; Metazoa; Mollusca; Bivalvia; Venerida; Veneridae
Exons: 4
Source: RefSeq, a predicted model, not a curated record
AGCAAUAAAUAUUAAUUUCCAAAAAAUACUGAUGACUCUGAAUUGUAAAGAAAAUUAUUUUCUUACAUUAACUUGUAUAUCGACAAACACAUUCAUUUAUCCAAUUGUCAAUUAUUAAUGGUUGAUGUAUGGAUUAGCUUCUGUAACAGGGUAACGAUUGUUUACAUUAUUAAAAUGUAGACACCUUUUUUGAAAGCUUAUCAAAUAUAUUUCUUUCGCAACAGGAUGAAUAUUCAAGUGGAAGAGUGCACGAGCUAACAGGAGACUGCGAAGGUCUGAAUAGUUCGGUGAGCAACAAGAAGACAUAUGAUAAGGGUUAUGCCUAUAUUGAACAGCUUUCAUUUGAAAAACAAUUUUCCCCUCCGGUACCGAUGUUCUCUCCCUUCGAAAUUCCAGAUUUGAUGUAUGGUAUGAUGAGAGGUAAAGUCCUGUCAUUCGUGACAGACAGGGUCCUUGGCGCAAUGACGAUAACAUUUGCUGGCAAUGUUGUUAUGAACGGAACUAUUCCCAACUUCCCCCAAAGCAGUUUUGUAACGCAUAUGUAAAUACAUGUUUAUUAGUUUCAUUGUUUAUAAACAAUUAUGGCUUAGAAAGUAAUCAUUACAAACAACACUUAUAAGUGUUUAAAAAAAUCGCCGUUUUGUUGGUUAUUCGUUGUGUUUUUGUUUUUAAAUAGACUCCUUCCUGCUAUAUUUUUUUUCUUUUGAGAAAAAUAUUCUGAAUAACGUUUACCCCGCAGGAGCCUUCACACUGGUUUUAAGCUCCGUUUUCAAGCUCCGUGCACGGAAAUAGUAUUUCAAUUCUAUAUACAAGAAGUCUGAGAACAACAUGGCAGAUGGUUAACUCAAUACAUAUACAAGUAACAAUCAACUAAUAUAUUAUUCUCGAAUACUUUUUAUAAUAAACAUUUCUUAUUUUUAUUUUAUGCCGUGUUGAAAGAUUCUGUUUAGACAUACUUUUGUCUGUAUAAAUCAAUACUUACAUUGCAAGGGCACUCAUGAACGGGAACAGCAAUAAUGUGUACAGUGAUCCUAAUAUGUGUACAGUGAACAAUUGGCUCCAACUAAAGAAACUACGUUUUUCUUUCAAAUUCCAAACAAAUGUCAGCAUGGAGGUAAUCAUCAAAGAUUCGACCUUGUGCAGGUUUGACAUAAUGCAGGGCAAUCUUGGCAACAUAAAGUACUUGUUAGUGUCAAAUGAAGUGCAUUCAAUUUCUUUCGGUUUACAUACCUUUAUUUGAUAAAAACCUACGUAAGUUAAUAAUGCCUCGAUGAAAAUUUUAAGUGUUUUUUUUUUAAUUCUAAAACGCCUAUGAAUUUAACAUUUAGAAUAAAUGUAAAAAACUGAACACACAUUUACUUUACAAUUUUCUAAACGAUGCAAUGUUGAUUUUGAAAAAGUUACUUCUUUACAUUUUAUUUAUCAUACAACAUUUUCCACUUAUUAUUUUCAUGUUUGCAACGAAUGUUUCACCCAGAUUUUUAUAUUCAUUGUUCAACCAGAGGUUCCUAGGAACGAGACAGGAGGCAUACUUGAAUAAGGACUUGAACAUUUUCCACUUAUUAUUUUCAUGUUUGCAACGAAUGUUUCACCCAGAUUUUUAAAUUCAUUGUUCAACCAGAGGUUCCUAGGAACGAGACAGGAGGCAUACUUGAAUAAGGACUUGGCAGUAUUUUGGGAAAGAUAAACAUUUAAGUAGCUUUGUAUGUGUUUAUGACUCCCCAAUUAUAUGUAAGAAAAUUGAAAAUCAAGCAUUGUUUUAAUUGUCAAGAAAUCAUAUUAUUUUACUGAUAGUUAAUUAGGCAUUUUUGAAAUUGUUAUCGAUCAGUUAUUUGGUUUAGAGGAAUUGGACAUAUUCUGGUAUGUACUCAUUCUUUAUGAAUAUGGCCCAAAUUGAUAUAUUUCAGGGGCUUGAUGCUAUUCUUUAUAUUUGGAGCUGUUUAUUUCACCAAUGGAAUGUCAUAAAUCGUUGAACAUUUGUUACUCUCAAAAUACAGGCUAAAAAGAUGACAAUCAGGCAUUUGCGCUAAACAAUAAAGGAAAUUUGAAUAAAUUUUGCGAAAAAUCUAAGUGUAUAAAUGACAGUUUUUAAUUGCACUUGGUUUCUUAUAAUUUUAAAGGAAUCGGUCAAAAUUUGAGUUAUAUUCUGGAUGUAUAUGACCUUAAUUGAUUCAUUUAAGGGGUUAGGAGCGAUGACUUCUAAUCCAGUUACCUCUCUGGCGUGAGUUCGAUCCCCGGGAGAUGCUUUGGUAGUUUAGCGCGGAGGAAGGUAGACUAGUACCGGUGUAACUCUCCAGGAACGAUGGUUAGGAAACUACCCGCCUAUAUAACUGAAAUACUGUUGGUAAAAGGCGUAAAAUGAAACAAACAAACAAAUUUUUUUAGGGGAAUAAUUGCAAAUUUUCAUUUUUGUGAAGGAAUUUUAUAUAUCGUUGAAUAAUGCAGAGCAUCUGUUUUAGUGCUUGUGUAAAAAAAUUAAAACAUUCGGACUUGUGUAUUCAGCCAUUCCUCUCUGAACUUCAAAAUUGACCAUUGCCCAUUGCCUCUUAGACAUACAUUUUCAAGUUCUCAUAGUUAUAAUGGCAAUUGACUUUAGUAGUGGAAUUCGACAAAUUAGACGUUAUAUACAGAGAAUAGUGAUUUUGUUUUUGCAAACACAUGACUUGAUAUUAACUGUUUAAAUGUUGUUUUAUCUAUGUAACAGUACAAACAUUAAAGUCAGGCAUAUAAAAGAGAAGCUACUGUCCAUACCUCCUGUGAAAUAAAAAAAGUCCCCGUUGGCGUAUGGGUAAUAAACAUACUAAAUGCAGAUGUUUACAAAUAUUUAACUGAUGAUUGCAUUUUGUAAUUAUUCUUGUAUACCUUUAAAAACACAUCAGUACCUUCUAAGCUACAAGUCUCAAAUGCUUCUUUUUUAAUACUUCUUAUCAACUGGCAGACUAAUAAAAAGUUAGAUAAUAAGCUAGCAAUUAGAAAGACAUUUUGAAAAAAAAAGUUUAUGAGAAUUCAAUGAUAAAAUCUCGUUGGAUAAAUCAGAUGCAAUAAAUAAUACAGAAAUAUAUUUUAAUAGUUAAGUGUUAACUUUCAAUAUUCCAGUAUCUGAUACAAGAUUUGUCUUCAGUUUUUUUAUUGCAGUUAUCUAUUUAUUUUAUUUUUCUAAUAAAUCACACUACCAUCUUGGAAUAAAC